UGGAGGACUGCGCUCCAGGAUGCAACCAAAGCCGGGUGCACAGCAGCCGGCAUGGCGCCAAAACUGAAGCCCUGAGCUGCUCUGCGGUGCUACCCUUUGUCCCUCCAGACUCUCUUUUCCUUCAUCUGUUUGUCAGUAAACCGAAGCCACCACAGUUUGUCAUUUGGAUGAUUUUCGAUGGAGAAGCUGCAGCUCCAGACUCUUGACAGCCGCACAACUUCCAAGGCAGUGGCCCCGCGGGCUGCAAACCCCACCUUCCUGCAGUUGCAGAGCCAGCUAAGAGGUGGGCAGCAUGCCAGGCCCCAUCAGCAGCCCCUGGAGCACACACCAAUUGCAGAUGCUCAGGAGACUCGGGGGAAGGAACGGGGUUUUCACCAGAACACCACAGGCAGGACCUCCCAGCAAAGGCCUCCAGAUGCUGUGAAAACCUAAGGCUCGUCCUCCUCCUGGCUUCCCAGGUUACCCAGCCACAACACACAGAUGCUGGGUCUGGGACGGCUCCACUGGAACCUGAGAUGACCUGAGGGUGUCCCAGUGAUAUAACAUAUGAGGAAAGCAGAAACAACUAAGAAAUAGACUCUGAAUGUGGCAGAUUCUAGAACUGAGCAAUGCAAGAACAGCCUAAUAAGCUGUGUGACUAAUCACUGCAUGAAACGGAGGGAGAGAGUUGUGCAGCUUCCAAGAACCUUCCUUAAGAGAUUAUGUCAGUUCACCCCUUGCCUUCUUCUUCUUCAUUCCUUCCUCCAUCCUGCUGACUAGAAUGAAGAGAUGUUGUCAUCUUGGACCAUGAGGUCAAGGCCAUGAGUGGACCAACAGGAUGUAAAUGUCAUGAGGGCAGGGAUUUUGUCUGUUCCCCAUUCCCCAGCUGCUGUGACCCCAAUGCCUAGUCGGUGCUAAAUAAAUAUUUGCUAAGUGAAUGAAUGAACGAACAAGCCUGGGAGUCCGAUACUGGGGAGGCAAAGUGAAUGAAUGAAUGAACAAGCCUGGGAGUCCGAUACUGGGGAGGCAAUGUCAGCCCCAGACCACCCACCUGGACUUUUACAUGAGUGAGAACCAAACUUCUACCUUGUUUAAACCAACCCUAAUCCUAUCAAUACAAUUUUUAAAAGUCCUAUCAUUGUUUUAGGCCAUAUAAAGUCUACCUAAAAUGUUAAGCUAAACCUCGGUAAAUUGAAUCACAUUUCCAAUGCAUUGUGAUAUUCAUUUUUUAAUGUUGUGGAUUAUUUUACAGAGCCAAAAUCCAUCCACUUGUAUGUUUAAUAAGUUUAGGUUUUAGUAAUUUGGGUUUCUAAAACCAAAAUCCACUUCCAAGAGUACUUUCUUACUAACAAUGCAAAGCACUGUAAAAAUUCAAUCCAGCAAUGAUUUUCUUAACAGCCCUAGAAUGUAAUAUAAGUGUUAUUAGAAUGUAAUAUAAGUGUUAUUAGAAUGUAAUAUAAGAGUUAGUAUCAAAGGCAGCAUCUUACAAGAUAGAGAUGAGCUAAUUUCCUUUCCCAACUCAGGGAAAAUUUUCCAUUUUCAUUCUGUGCCCAUUACACUUCACUGCUCUUAAAUUGAAUAAGAAGUUUACAUCGGAGACUAGGAGUUUACAUAGGAGUGGCAGAUUUUAAGCAAAAACAAGUGUUUUUUGCUUUUUAAGAAAAACAUUUCAUUUCAUUCUCUCAAGUUUUCAGCCCUGCUGACCUCUGAGAAGAAUUACACCUUUAUACAUUGCUUUCUUAAAGGAAAAAAAAAAAAACUUUGAAAAAAAAAAGGGCUUGAUUAAUUAACUUUGGUAUGCAAACCGGUGGGGGUAAAA
Molecule: long non-coding RNA, 1798 nt
Filed under: Homo sapiens (human)
Lineage: Eukaryota; Metazoa; Chordata; Mammalia; Primates; Hominidae
Description: HSALNT0317286
Source: RNAcentral